CCGGUACAGGUCCCAAGCCCUCCUCUCCCUAACCUUGACGAGACUGUACAACUUUUUAUCCCCACCUUUACUAUCUAACAAUAUGUACAAAUUCUUGAAGGCAACAUCCUUAGCCCCCAUAACCACUAACUUUGCCUCUCGCCUAGCAAUCUUAUACUCCUCCCUAUUCUUCCAUUUAUCUUCUUCAUCCUUACUCCCAAUCAAC
This 205-nucleotide long non-coding RNA is filed under the name Capsicum annuum. Its description in RNAcentral is "long non-coding RNA (CANN_LNC019536)". Lineage: Eukaryota; Viridiplantae; Streptophyta; Magnoliopsida; Solanales; Solanaceae. The record is from RNAcentral.